GUAACAGCAGCCAUCUUGCACAUUCCAAAGUCAGGUGCAUAACUUCACAUGGUGGUCAACAGUAUAGCAUAGUUCCACCAAGUUUGGUCCAUGUAAUUCUGAGAAAAAGCUUGGACAAAAAGUGUGGAAGAAUAAAAAUAAAAAUAAUAAGAAAAAAAGAAACGAACAAUAACAAGAUGUCACCCCAACUCCGUUGAGGGUGCCAUAAAAAGAAUCGAACAAUAACAAUAUGUCACCCGACCUCCGUCAGGGUGACAUAAAAAUUAAAAAAAAAAAAAGAAUAACAAUAUGUCAC
Molecule: long non-coding RNA, 295 nt
Filed under: Mytilus galloprovincialis (Mediterranean mussel)
Lineage: Eukaryota; Metazoa; Mollusca; Bivalvia; Mytilida; Mytilidae
Source: RNAcentral